Long non-coding RNA from Suricata suricatta (meerkat), 318 nucleotides. RefSeq lists it as uncharacterized. The record is from RefSeq and is a predicted model, not a curated record. The transcript has 2 exons. NCBI's taxonomy places the organism in Eukaryota, Metazoa, Chordata, Mammalia, Carnivora, Herpestidae.
AGACACACACUGGCAAAAGGCUUCUAGUCAAGGUUCAGUCUGACUUCUAUUCCACUCCUGUGCUUCAUUUCAUCCAAGAUAAAAAUAGGAGAAAAAACUAAAAAAGCUUUUAGCUUUAAAUAAAUUCAUCCAAAGAUGACAACUUAAAUUACCUGAGUGAAAAAGACCAUUGCAGUUCAUAGCCAGGAAUAAAGAGUUCCGGAAGCUACCAAAGAAAAGUGUGAUUGCCCCAAAUGUUGACUUACCACAGGAUUAACAAAAGAAAGUAAGACUUGAAAUAACAACAAUAACAAUAAAGUCCUUUCUUUCAAAUUUUUA